RNAcentral lists this ribosomal RNA (465 nucleotides) under uncultured bacterium. RNAcentral's name for it is "partial 16S ribosomal RNA". It matches the Rfam family "Bacterial small subunit ribosomal RNA", at positions 28 to 507 of the family's 1533-position model. The record is from RNAcentral.
GACGAACGCUGGCGGCGUGCUUAACACAUGCAAGUCGAACGGAAAGGCCCCAGCUUGCUGGGGUACUCGAGUGGCGAACGGGUGAGUAACACGUGGGUGAUCUGCCCUGCACUCUGGGAUAAGCCUGGGAAACUGGGUCUAAUACCGGAUAGGACCGUGCUUUAGUGUGUGCGGUGGAAAGUUUUUCGGUGCAGGAUGAGCCCGCGGCCUAUCAGCUUGUUGGUGGGGUAAUGGCCUACCAAGGCGGCGACGGGUAGCCGGCCUGAGAGGGUGUACGGCCACAUUGGGACUGAGACACGGCCCAGACUCCUACGGGAGGCAGCAGUGGGGAAUAUUGCACAAUGGGCGCAAGCCUGAUGCAGCGACGCCGCGUGGGGGAUGACGGCCUUCGGGUUGUAAACCCCUUUCGGCAGGGACGAAGCUUUUGUGACGGUACCUGCAUAAGAAGCACCGGCCAACUACGUG